CCGUAAACGUUGGGCACUAGGUGUGGGGGACAUUCCACGUUUUCCGCGCCGUAGCUAACGCAUUAAGUGCCCCGCCUGGGGAGUACGGCCGCAAGGCUAAGACUCAAAGGAAUUGACGGGGGCCCGCACAAGCGGCGGAGCAUGCGGAUUAAUUCGAUGCAACGCGAAGAACCUUACCAAGGCUUGACAUGGACCGGACCGGGCUGGAAACAGUCCUUCUCCUUUGGGGCCGGUUCACAGGUGGUGCAUGGUUGUCGUCAGCUCGUGUCGUGAGAUGUUGGGUUAAGUCCCGCAACGAGCGCAACCCUCGUUCUAUGUUGCCAGCACGUGAUGGUGGGGACUCAUAGGAGACUGCCGGGGUCAACUCGGAGGAAGGUGGGGACGACGUCAAAUCAUCAUGCCCCUUAUGUCUUGGGCUUCACGCAUGCUACAAUGGCCGGUACAAAGGGUUGCGAUACUGUGAGGUGGAGCUAAUCCCAAAAAGCCGGUCUCAGUUCGGAUUGGGGUCUGCAACUCGACCCCAUGAAGUCGGAGUCGCUAGUAAUCGCAGAUCAGCAACGCUGCGGUGAAUACGUUCCCGGGCCUUGUACACACCGCCCGUCAAGUCACGAAAGUUGGUAA
This 621-nucleotide ribosomal RNA is filed under the name uncultured bacterium. RNAcentral's name for it is "bacterial SSU rRNA". It matches the Rfam family "Bacterial small subunit ribosomal RNA", at positions 800 to 1417 of the family's 1533-position model. The record is from RNAcentral.